UGGAGGCAGCAGUGGGGAAUAUUGCACAAUGGGCGAAAGCCUGAUGCAGCAACGCCGCGUGAGCGAUGAAGGCCUUUGGGUCGUAAAGCUCUGUCCUUGGGGAAGAAAAAAAUGACGGUACCCUUGGAGGAAGCCCCGGCUAACUACGUGCCAGCAGCCGCGGUAAUACGUAGGGGGCAAGCGUUAUCCGGAAUUAUUGGGCGUAAAGGGUGCGUAGGUGGUUUUGUAAGCGCGAGGUGAAAGGCAAUAGCUCAACUAUUGUAAGCCUUGCGAACUGUAAGACUUGAGUGCAGGAGAGGAAAGCGGAAUUCCUAGUGUAGCGGUGAAAUGCGUAGAUAUUAGGAGGAACACCAGUGGCGAAGGCGGCUUUCUGGACUGUAACUGACACUGAGGCACGAAAGCGUGGGGAGCAAACAGGAUUAGAUACCCCGGUAGG
RNAcentral lists this ribosomal RNA (436 nucleotides) under uncultured bacterium. RNAcentral's name for it is "bacterial SSU rRNA". It matches the Rfam family "Bacterial small subunit ribosomal RNA", at positions 343 to 794 of the family's 1533-position model. The record is from RNAcentral.